UACGUAGGGGGCAAGCGUUAUCCGGAUUUACUGGGUGUAAGGGGAGCGUAGACGGCAUGGCAAGUCAGAUGUGAAAGCCCGGGGCUCAACCCCGGGACUGCAUUUGAAACUGUCAGGCUGGAGUGCAGGAGAGGUAAGUGGAAUUCCUGGUGUAGCGGUGAAAUGCGUAGAUAUUAGGAGGAACACCAGUGGCGAAGGCGGCUUACUGGACUGUAACUGACGUUGAGGCUCGAAAGCGUGGGGAGCAAACAGG
Molecule: ribosomal RNA, 253 nt
Filed under: uncultured bacterium
Lineage: Bacteria
Description: partial 16S ribosomal RNA
Rfam family: Bacterial small subunit ribosomal RNA
Source: RNAcentral